GGGGAAGGGAAAGUUUAAUGAAGGCCGCUGAUUUUCAGCACCUGUCCCAUGCUUCUCACAAUGUGUGUGUAUGGAGAUGUGAACGGGUACGGUUUCCUGGGAGACUGCUGGGGAUGUUUUUCAUUGAGAGGACAACAGCAGAGUGGAAGUGUGUGGCAAUCGCUGUUCCUCUGGUGUUCCUUUUCAUGUUUCUUUUGUUUGAUUUUAUUUCCAAGUGUUUAAUCCUGCGCCCAUGAUAAUGCUGAUUAGUUGAUCAGCCUGUGUUCACUUAGCACUCUGGCCUGUGGCGGUGCUGGUUAGCAGCUUUGUAUAUUUAUUUGUUUGUUUGUUUUGUUUGUCAAAACCUUCCCGAUUGUUUGCCAGGCUAACCCAGCGCUGGAUUUAUGCAUGUUGGGAGGAAGAGCAGGGCUAAUGUUUGCAGUGCCACAUAGUGUGAAAAUUUGAACUUGGUUCUUUGUCUGCACCUGAUUAUUUGUGUGGGGUGUUUCUGACCGACGGUGUGUUUAACCCCUUGCUCUGCCUCAGAAGAGUAAAAUAAUUGUUUUAAGUUUGGGGUUAGUCCUUAACUGUGGGGAAGUUUUAUUGUGCUCAAACAUUCCAUAAUGAAAUCAAUGCAAUAAAUUAUGUUUUGAUACUUCCUAACUUUUCCUUGCUCUGCAUGGUUAAUUCUUAGUAUA
Molecule: long non-coding RNA, 677 nt
Organism: Conger conger (European conger)
Lineage: Eukaryota; Metazoa; Chordata; Actinopteri; Anguilliformes; Congridae
Exons: 3
Source: RefSeq, a predicted model, not a curated record